This 200-nucleotide ribosomal RNA is filed under the name uncultured organism. RNAcentral's name for it is "partial small subunit ribosomal RNA". It matches the Rfam family "Bacterial small subunit ribosomal RNA", at positions 1184 to 1382 of the family's 1533-position model. The record is from RNAcentral.
GUCAAAUCAUCAUGCCCCUUAUGACCUGGGCUACACACGUGCUACAAUGGACGGUACAAACGGUUGCCAACCCGUGAGGGGGAGCCAAUCCGCCAAAGCCGGUCUCAGUUCGGAUUGCAGGCUGCAACCCGCCUGCAUGAAGUCGGAGUUGCUAGUAACCGCAGGUCAGCCAUACUGCGGUGAAUACGUUCCCGGGCCUU